Molecule: ribosomal RNA, 497 nt
Filed under: uncultured bacterium
Lineage: Bacteria
Description: partial 16S ribosomal RNA
Rfam family: Bacterial small subunit ribosomal RNA
Source: RNAcentral
GAUGAACGCUGGCGGCGUGCCUAAUACAUGCAAGUCGAGCGAACAGGCGAGGAGCUUGCUCCUCUGACGUUAGCGGCGGACGGGUGAGUAACACGUGGAUAACCUACCUAUCAGACUGGGAUAACUUCGGGAAACCGGAGCUAAUACCGGAUAAUAUAUUGAACCGCAUGGUUCAAUAGUGAAAGACGGUUUUGCUGUCACUUAUCGAUGGAUCCGCGCCGCAUUAGCUAGUUGGUAAGGUAACGGCUUGCCAAGGCAACGAUGCGUAGCCGACCUGAGAGGGUGAUCGGCCACACUGGAGCGGAGACACGGUCCAGACUCCUACGGGAGGCAGCAGUAGGGAAUCGUCCGCAAUGGGCGAAAGCCUGACGGAGCAACGCCGCGUGAGUGAUGAAGGUCUUCGGAUCGUAAAACUCGGUUAUUAGGGAAGAACAAAUGUGUAAGUAACUAUGCACGUCUUGACGGUACCUAAUCAGAAAGCCACGGCUAACUACGUG